Molecule: ribosomal RNA, 497 nt
Filed under: uncultured bacterium
Lineage: Bacteria
Description: partial 16S ribosomal RNA
Rfam family: Bacterial small subunit ribosomal RNA
Source: RNAcentral
GAUGAACGCUGGCGGCGUGCCUAAUACAUGCAAGUCGGGCGAACAGACGAGGAGCUUGCUCCUCUGACGUUAGCGGCGGACGGGUGAGUAACACGUGGAUAACCUACCUAUAAGACUGGGAUAACUUCGGGAAACCGGAGCUAAUACCGGAUAAUAUAUUGAACCGCAUGGUUCAAUAGUGAAAGACGGUUUUGCUGUCACUUAUAGAUGGAUCCGCGCCGCAUUAGCUAGUUGGUAAGGUAACGGCUUACCAAGGCGACGAUGCGUAGCCGACCUGAGAGGGGGAUCGGCCACACUGGAACUGAGACACGGUCCAGACUCCUACGGGAGGCAGCAGUAGGGAAUCUUCCGCAAUGGGCGAAAGCCUGACGGAGCAACGCCGCGUGAGUGAUGAAGGUCUUCGGAUCGUAAAACUCUGUUAUUAGGGAAGAACAAAUGUGUAAGUAACUAUGCACGUCUUGACGGUACCUAAUCAGAAAGCCACGGCUAACUACGUG